GACGAACGCUGGCGGCGUGCUUAACACAUGCAAGUCGAACGGAAAGGGCCGGUACUUGUGGGGAGCGGGAGUGGAGAAAGGGUGAGAAAAACGUGAGUAACCUGCGCUUGACAGUGGGAGAACAUCAGGAAACUGGGGCGAAUAUCGGAUAGGAGCUCCUGCAGCAUGGUGGGGGUGGGAAAGAGUCGGCGGUUUGGGAUGGAAUCGCGGUCCAGCGGCGUAUUGGUGGUGUAGUGGCUUACACGGGCUUUGACGGGUAGCCGGCCUGAGAGGGUGACAGGCCACAUUGGGACUGGGAUGCGGCCCAGACUCCUUCGUCAGGCAGCAGUGGGGAUCUUUGCACAAUGCGCGGCAGCCUGAUGCAGCAUCGCCGCGUGCGGGAUGUCUGCCUUCGGGUUGUAAACCGCUUUCGCCUGUGACGCUCCGUGAGUGACGGUAAUGGGUAAAGAAGCACCGGCUAACUACGUG
Molecule: ribosomal RNA, 468 nt
Filed under: uncultured bacterium
Lineage: Bacteria
Description: partial 16S ribosomal RNA
Rfam family: Bacterial small subunit ribosomal RNA
Source: RNAcentral